CGAUCAGGGCAUGAUUCAACCCUUAGUUACCACUCUCCCCAGCACUCUGACGUCUACACCAUUUGAGAUCUGGCCAUCGAAAUACGAUUUCAGGUGCUCAAUAAGUGGAUCGAUGCAAUGAACAACUCCUCCCCUACGCAAUCCUAUGAGGGAUUUAGCAGUGAACCAUCCUUCGCCCCUUCCUCGGCACUUUAAGAUGUCCCAAUUUAAGGCCUACGACGGGACCGCCGAUCCCAUCGAUCAUCUAG
This 248-nucleotide long non-coding RNA is filed under the name Elaeis guineensis (African oil palm). RNAcentral describes it as "long non-coding RNA (EGUI_LNC008904)". The record is from RNAcentral. Lineage: Eukaryota; Viridiplantae; Streptophyta; Magnoliopsida; Arecales; Arecaceae.